ACUGGCUAAAUCUUUCUUUACUAUCCUUUUGAACGCUUCUAAUAAAUAAAGAAGGGUAGCCUGCAUGACAAUAAUUCCAACAAAUAUAAUCUGAAAUACCAAGCAUUAAAUUGCCUGCAACUUUAUUAUCUUUGGUUACAAGAAAAUGAGGGAAAAUGACAUGGUAAAAAUGUCAGAUUCUUUGGGAAUCAGAAUUCAAAGAUCUUUGAACGUUCACUACCCCAAAUUAC
RNAcentral lists this long non-coding RNA (230 nucleotides) under Durio zibethinus. Its description in RNAcentral is "long non-coding RNA (DZIB_LNC000668)". The record is from RNAcentral. Lineage: Eukaryota; Viridiplantae; Streptophyta; Magnoliopsida; Malvales; Malvaceae.